RNAcentral lists this ribosomal RNA (453 nucleotides) under Triticum aestivum (bread wheat). Its description in RNAcentral is "partial small subunit ribosomal RNA". Lineage: Eukaryota; Viridiplantae; Streptophyta; Magnoliopsida; Poales; Poaceae. The record is from RNAcentral.
AUGAAGGGCUUGACGUGUUGGCUGUCAAGAAGCACUAGGUCAACGACAGGCAAGGCAUCCAGGAAGCCACAGCACGAGAGAGCGAUGACGCUCAAAGGGAAGAAGACAUGGGGUCAGAAAAAUGUUAAGAUUGACUUGAUGUGUGGUAAGGAACAUCCAGUUGAAAAGUUUUUUAUGCUUGAACAUCCACUACUCAAUUAUUCUUUAAGUUGUGAAGAGGAGUUCCUGAUGAUAGCUGAAUAUACCAGCCUACUUGCCUACAACCAAGGCAGAAUUAUCAGCGUGUAUGCGAAACAGCCCGCUAGCUGGGUGUGUGCCUCCUGUUUGAGCGAGAGGGAGGACCUUUGCUGGGCAGUCAAAGGAUGUGCUCGGAUAUGGUGGUCCAACUCCAAGCGUAGCUUGCAGCUCCAGCUUAGAUUUGUUAGGAACCAAUCAUCCAGAUGCCUUUCCUAG